CACCCCGGCCCCACGUGCAGUUUCCGAGGGUGGGCAGUGAGCUAUCUCUCUCUCUCUCCCCCAUACCUUUUUCUCUCUCCACUCCCCCGGUCGUCUUCAACCUCUGUCUCCCUCGCCGGCCACCCUCUCUCCCUCUUCUAGCCCUCUCUCUCUGUGUCUUCCUCGAUCUCUCUCCACUCUCUCUCUCUCUCUCUGGAUCCGGAUCUGACUCUGAGGCAACCGUUCUCUCCCCCCCCCCCUCUCUCUCUCUCUCUCCCUCUCCCUGCUUCUAUUUCUCUCUCUCUCUCUCUCUCUCUCUCUCUCUCUCUCUCCGCACCGUCUUUCCCCUGUUGCCGUAGUCUUUCCUCGAGCUCCCGCAUCCCCGGAUCCAGACCAGCGCCGCAUCCGAGUUUAUCAUCGGCAUCGGCGUCGACAUCGGCGACCGUUAGGAGUGCCGCCUUCGUUCAGAUAUCUUCUUCUCCACUAAGAUAUGUAAUUUACUGAUAUGGGGAUGAUUUGGAUCCUAGUAAUCCGUGGGCAGCAAAAUAUUUUUACGAAGGAAACAUUUGUCUCCUCAAGGAGGUUGAUCUGCUAGCAAGAAAUUAUUUACAUAUAUGCAAAUGUUGGUGACCAUGAAUGCCUGUUUUCUUGUUACAAGUAGAACAAAUGUCAAUGUUUAUCCUCAGUUGUUAGAAAGUAAAAAAAAAGUUUUUU
Long non-coding RNA from Panicum virgatum (switchgrass), 693 nucleotides. RefSeq lists it as uncharacterized. Lineage: Eukaryota; Viridiplantae; Streptophyta; Magnoliopsida; Poales; Poaceae. The transcript is spliced from 2 exons. The record is from RefSeq and is a predicted model, not a curated record.